Manis pentadactyla (Chinese pangolin) is the source of this 219-nucleotide long non-coding RNA. RefSeq lists it as uncharacterized. The transcript has 3 exons. The record is from RefSeq and is a predicted model, not a curated record. NCBI's taxonomy places the organism in Eukaryota, Metazoa, Chordata, Mammalia, Pholidota, Manidae.
GGGACUUCGUCUGCAGCUUUGGGGGAAAGUGGACCCUCAGGGGUCUGUCCUGCGGGGAAGCCCCCUCCUCUCAUACUAGGUGGGAAUGCUUCCUGAUGGGGCUUCUUUGGAAAAUGAGUGCCUGCGGAGAAGUCAAUAGCAACGGAUUAAACAGCAAGGAGAAGGCUGAAAGCACAAUUGGAAGAAAGAUAAAGAUAAUUAAAACUAAUUCCAACUGUU